CUGCUGCCUUCCGUAGGAGUCUGGGCCGUAUCUCAGUCCCAAUGGUGGCCGGCCAACCUCUCCAGUCCGGCUACUGAUCGUCGCCUUGGUGGGCCGUUACCCCACCAACUAGCUAAUCAGACGCGAGGCCAUCUUUCGGCGAUAAAUCUUUGACGUCAAAGCCAUGCGACUUCGACGUAUCAUGCGGUAUUAGCAGUCGUUCCAACUGUGUCCCCUCGAAGGCAGGUUCCNCACGCGUACNCACCAGU
RNAcentral lists this ribosomal RNA (248 nucleotides) under uncultured bacterium. RNAcentral describes it as "partial 16S ribosomal RNA". The record is from RNAcentral.